Daphnia magna is the source of this 786-nucleotide long non-coding RNA. RefSeq lists it as uncharacterized. NCBI's taxonomy places the organism in Eukaryota, Metazoa, Arthropoda, Branchiopoda, Diplostraca, Daphniidae. The record is from RefSeq and is a predicted model, not a curated record. The transcript has 2 exons.
GCUCUUUCAAUGGUUCGUCUGCUUACGAACGGUCGCGCAUGCGUGAAUGAAAAUGCCAUGGGGAAUUACAGUUUUAUACUUUUAUAGUCCUCCACUUAUCCAUCUAUUGGUAUUCUUCAUGUUUUAACCAACAAUUAUCAUCAAUCAAUCGCCCUGAAAAGUAAAGAAAACAUAUGGCUUUUAAGAAUAAAGAUUGGGUGCCACUGGUUAACGCCACCUACCAGUUCCAAGCAAAAAUGCAUUAGGCAAAGCAAACGAAAGCGUCCAUCCUUAAAACCGUCAUGUGACGCUUCCCUCUGCAGUACCUUUUCUGCUUACCAAAGACGUCAGAGCUGUUCUUCACUUUUAGAAGCCUACGUACCCUUUCCUACAGCCAUACUUUACGGAAAUGGCAUAACGCCUUGAAUGGGCUUCCGCUUGUUUUGGGGCGACAUCCAAACGUAAAAAAAAAUGCACCCAUUAUUUCCAACAAGUAUGCAUGUAAUUUAAGGAAUAAUUAACAAUUCAUCACGUGAAACUCCCCUCGAAAAUCGAGUUUAAGAGGUUUUCACGAGACAACAAUUAAGCCGAUAGAUUUUUCAAUUUCAAAAGUCUAUCUCUAUACUGAAUCCACUGUUCAUAAGAUUUCCAAUCUAAAUCUGGUCAAUCACACAACUCUGUAUCCGUGUCCUAUAAAGAGUGCGGAGAUGAUUUGCCUAAACAACGUUCGUAAAUCAAAUCAUUCCCACUCCGUUGUCCCGGUUGGUUUCGCCGUCAGGUCAAUAAAUGCAUAUCACAAACAUAAAA